ACUCCUACGGGAGGCAGCAGUGGGGAAUUUUGGACAAUGGGCGAAAGCCUGAUCCAGCCAUUCCGCGUGAGUGAAGAAGGCCUUCGGGUUGUAAAGCUCUUUCGCAAGGGAAGAAAACUUACUUUCUAAUAAAGAGUGAGGAUGACGGUACCUUGAUAAGAAGCACCGGCUAACUACGUGCCAGCAGCCGCGGUAAUACGUAGGGUGCGAGCGUUAAUCGGAAUUACUGGGCGUAAAGCGUGCGCAGGCGGUUUUGAAAGUCAGAUGUGAAAUCCCCGAGCUCAACUUGGGAACUGCGUUUGAAACUCCAAAGCUAGAGUAUAGGAGAGGGGGGUAGAAUUCCACGUGUAGCAGUGAAAUGCGUAGAGAUGUGGAGGAAUACCAAUGGCGAAGGCAGCCCCCUGGCCUAAUACUGACGCUCAUGCACGAAAGCGUGGGGAGCAAACAGGAUUAGAUACCCUGGUAGUCCACGCCCUAAACGAUGUCUACUAGUUGUUGGUGGAGUAAAAUCCAUUAGUAACGCAGCUAACGCGUGAAGUAGACCGCCUGGGGAGUACGGUCGCAAGAUUAAAACUCAAAGGAAUUGACGG
This 590-nucleotide ribosomal RNA is filed under the name uncultured bacterium. Its description in RNAcentral is "bacterial SSU rRNA". It matches the Rfam family "Bacterial small subunit ribosomal RNA", at positions 335 to 916 of the family's 1533-position model. The record is from RNAcentral.